Non-coding RNA from Stentor coeruleus, 71 nucleotides. The record is from Rfam. Lineage: Eukaryota; Ciliophora; Heterotrichea; Heterotrichida; Stentoridae.
GGUUCUAUGGUGUAGUGGUAGCACGUUGGACUUUGAAUCCAGAGAUCCGAGUUCAAUUCUCGGUAGAACCA